UCCCGUCUGGGCUGGGUGUCAUGCGCAGUAAAGCUGCGGCCAUGUUCUCGGAUAAAUAUAUGCAAAAUUUUGAUAUUUUGAUUAUUUUGUGUGCCGCGCAAGCUAAAAACAAUGGUUAUAUACCCGCAAAAUGCAGGAGAAAUUAACAUAGGAAUACAUGAGCAUGCUACAAUAAUGUUCCGAUCAUGGAAGAUAUCAUGGAUGGAAGUUUCUCAGUAGAAAUGACAUCAAAGUGUAUGUUAAUUUGUGAAAGAUGACGUGAGACAGUGAAAAUGUGUUCUUUCACAGCCAAAGACUUUCUAUUUACAUAGACACCCUUAUUUACCAGAUAUAAACAUGAACUUUGACAAUGGUCAGGGUCUGAAAUUUGGAGUGUCAAACUAUGGCCAGGGAUUGGCAAAUGCCACCAAUGUGUGUCACUUUCAGUAUAUGGGGAUGGGUGAGGCUCAAGGGGCCAUGAAACCUGGCCAAGGGAUACCACAGAUGCCAGUUGACCGAAACACAUUUGUUCCUCCUUAUCACAAUGUUGGACUGGCCCACCAUCAAGGCAACCCAGCAGCCCAAGCAGGUUUUCCAAUGGGGGUCAAUAUCUCUAUGUCGUCACCCAUGUCUUUCAACUCCCUGCCCCCAAUGGAAAGCUUUGGUGGACACAACCAAGGAUUCCCACCCAACCAGAGACCGGGGAUGAACUACAAAAACUUCAAUAACUGGGUCGGUCCAAACCAGAGCAAUCAGACCUCCCUUCCAAGCAUUGGUCACCUGUGGUCACACUUCCAACAACAGCAGAUUCAGAAGCAUACCGUGCAACAGCCUCCCCCACACCAACAGAACUUCUACCCUAACCAGCAGCACAUGCAGGGUUUCCAAAACACACUUGCCCUCAGCCCGAAUAUGGCUGGGGGACCUCGAGGACAGAACAUCAGCUAUCAAUACCAAGCUCAGAAUCCAACCGUUGUGAACCAUUCUAGGAUGUAUCAAAAUUUCCCCCAGGAAAGAAUGCAGAACUGUAUAUAUGGAAGUCAGAACGUUCCCACAGUCAGUCAGAGUGUAGCUGGUGUGAAUGAUCAACAUAUUGCUAAAGCACCUGGUCAGUCACAUCCGGUACACCAUGUAGAAACGGCUGGUCCUCAGGUGACCGCUAUUUGUAACCAGGUGACUAAAACUACCACCACAAUCACCAUGACCACCUGUAACAGUUCUCCCCUGACCACUGCAAUGGCACAUGUGAAUGUGACGGUUCCUUCUGUUCUGACAUCGGUGGCUGUGACCAAACCUGCAGAAGGACCUGGAGGGAGUCCGCGAAACACUCCAGGGGUGGAGGCAGGGCCACCAGUCAGUGUAUCAGGUUGUGCUUCACACCACACUAAGCCCAAAGUAAGUGAUGGUGCAGAUUCGGAGGGAACUGAAUGUGAACAAGACUCCAUGGAAUCCAAAGACAUUGAACCGAGUUUGCAGAUUGUGAAGGUACCAUUUGGCUGGAGACGGACGACAGAGAAUGGGACAGUGGUGUACUACAGCCCCAGCAACACCAGGCUUUGUUCUUACCAUGAAGUAUGCAAGUAUCUGUCUGCUGAGGGCACCUGCAAAUGUGGGUUGGAGUGUCCACUCUUGGUGGAGAAGGUGUUUAACUUUGAUCCAUUGGUCAAUGGAAAACUCUGGACUGUGGAUGAUAUGGCUACAGGGGACCUCACCAAGUUGUGUAUUCACAAACGUAAAAUUAUUGCAAUGGCAACUUUUCAGAGUAGUCGAUCAAUGUCUGUUUCUAAAGACACGGAUAAGAUCAGUCAUUCAGGAACAGGAGGUCAUUCGAGGAAAGGCAAGAAGAGCAAAAGUAAAGUGAACUCUACACCUUAUGAUGGACUGUUGGUAUCACAGCUUCUGGCUCAGAAAGGAAAGGUGAAACCACCGAUGAAUCACACCCACAAACACACCAAAUCAAAGGGUGAUGGUUCACAAAAUCCCAUAGAUGGGCCUGGAUCUAAGUCGUCAAAUAAUGUCACUACUGUUUCUAAUGCUGUACCAAAGAUGUUUGAAAAUAAGUCAGUUCCAUGCAAAUCUCAAGCUUUGCAACAGUUACAACAGUUAAAUAAGCUCAACAACUCUGUCGGCAAUGUACUGCCUGAUCCAGCCGAUGACCUUGGCCCGAUAACGUGCCAAGUCCCGGCUAAGCUGGACUUUAGCAAAGAAGGCUUCCUGGAGGAUCAGAAGAAUAGGCUUCAGACGUCUAUGGCUGGACAUACUGUUGGCCAGGCAAUCUUCCAUCAAGGGUCUGUGUCCCCUCAAGCUCCUUUUAGUCAAGAACAACUGAAGCACCAGUUGUUGAUGCAACAGUCUGCUUCCCCAUGUGCUCCUACUGCCAGUCCCUCUUUAGUCAAUUCUGUUCCAAACCACAUGUACGGACCAAAUGUUCCUCAACACUUCCAGUGCCAGUUGCCUAUGAAUAUGCAGCAGAAUUCUGGAAACAUUAUGUUCCAGACUCUGAUGCAUGUGCAGAAUCCACAAGCCCAAAGAUUUACGAACCCUCCUGUGUUUGAACAAGCCAACAUGCAAGGAAAUCAUUUGCAGGUUGGAUCCCAACCAAAUCUCAUGAUCAACCAGGGCUAUCCUCAUCUAGGUAAUCUGACCUGGCUGGACCCAGGGAAACCGAAGGCCAAGAGGCCUAGAAGCAAGAAGGAUAAACAGAAGUUAAACAGCAUUCUUGAUAGGACAUCUCCUUGUCCGAAUGUUGAUGUCCGACACAUACCUCAGGAAGCAUCAAAGAAUCCAUCCAGCAUCAAUACUAGUGUAUCAUUCAUGGAAAAUCCAGCAGCAUUUCUUGCUCAACAAACAGCUCUUGUUCAUAGUUCAUUAAGUUCCACAAAGACAGAUAUGUCUCAACCAAGUCCUCGGACACCACAACCUUCUGUAUCCACCCCUCCAAGUGUAUCCACCUCAGUUCAGAAUAAGUCUGUUCCUGUAACCACAGCUUCUUCACCAGCAUCUGAACCUACAGAAGAGGUACCAGAUAAAGUAUUGCCACAAAGAACAUGUAGUAUUAGUGAACCAUCUGCAACGUCUAGUACAUCAACUGGCACAGUGACUACUGCUAAAACCCCAGGAUUGUUGAAAGUUGAUGACGGUGCAAACUGUGAUAGAUCAGAUACGCCUGCUAUAGAGAAAUUGGAUGUUUCUGAGAAAGAAGCAAGUGCAUCUGAACAGUGUUGUGAUGACAAAACCAGAUCAAGUCCUGCCAGCAAUGCCACUCUACCUUCAGAUGCCAAAGCAAACUCUUUAGAAUCAAGUGAGCCUAAGGACUCUGAUUGUGUCAGUGAAGCGAACACAACUAACAGCACUAAGCCAAACAUUUCACAGCAAAGCCAAACACCUACAAGCAGCAAUGCCGCUAUUGUCACCCUUGCUUCCACUGCCUCUGCAACAGAACCAGCCACUACUGCAACAAAUUUGGUAAUGCCAAGUGAUAUUUCUGAAUUGAUAGCUGCUAAUAAUCUUAACCUCAAUGCUGUCCAACAGGCUUUAAGUCAGCAAGGACCAGGUGAGUUUCCUGCCAGCACACUACUGUCUGCCGCGGCAAGAGCACAGGGGUCUCAACAAAACCCACUUAAUGUUCUACUAGGCCAGCCAAUGCAGGUCAGCCCUACUUUGCAAGUUCCCACUGGGCAAGAAACCGCUACACCAACCGCCAUUCCCGACAUGAUGAGCAAAGCAGGCAUUAACACGUUAGAUCAGUUGAAUUUAUCUCUACAACAGCAAGGUGGUGGAACUCUCAUGCUUCCUCAGAACCCAAAUAUUUUGGCAGGUGCUCUUCCUGGGGGUUACAUCAAUACACUGAAUGGUCCAACUGUGCAAGGAUUACCUCUCAACAUGUUCCUGCCUGUCAAUCAACCAAUAGGCAAUUCCACAGGUUUGAAUCCUGCUCAAAACUUAUUAAUUGGUCUUGAUCCUAAGUCAGGUGCCAAUUCACAGACUUCAAAACAGGCCACAACAACAGGUAGAGUUUCUGGAGUAGAGUCUACUAAAGGUUUGGAUGGCUUUAAUGGACCAGCUGUGAACUUCCCAACACUCUUUGCAAAUGUUGCUAGUGGCCCUAGUACUAUUGGUGCUAACAUGAAACUUUCAACAACAUCUUCCUCAAAUGCAUCCCAAGUUUCUGCUGGUGUCAAUGCUUCUUUGCUAAACAAUCAGUUCCCCUAUGUCACAAUGAACACUCCUAUGCCUCCGAUGUCCCUUCCCCUUGUAACCAAUGUCACAAACAGCCUAUCACAAGUGAUCCCAGCUGUUGGAGUUCCUCAGACAGUCCUGAAUCAACAACCUGUUACAUCACUCAUCAGCACUGUCACUGUCCCAACAUUGAACAAUUCCGUUGUCAUUACAAACCAAAUACCCUCAAUGCAUACUUCUCAGACUGGGACACAGAAUAUUGCAUUUAUGGGAGUACAACAACCUCAAGGGGGUGAGCCUGAAAACAAUGCAAAUGUAGGCACAGCCGAAGAUGUCAACAGUGUUGGCAGUUCUAUGGCCAGUACUGAAACAGUGUGUGUAAGUGAAAGUGGCCAAGCUAAUGUUCCAAAGCUUGAGACAACCCAUCAGGGUGUGGAGACACUCAUGAACAAACUGGUAAAUCAAACUGAAGUCAUGGAACAAAUGAACAAUAACACAGGUCAGGUUGUGCUUCUUCCGAAUCCAAAUAUUCCCCUUCUUCAGCUGUAUGGAGCUAAUCCAUUGUUAGCAGCACCUGGGAUAGAUAAGUUUGGUUUGAACAGUAUGCAGCAGGUCAUGCUCCAUGGCACAAUGAUUGAUCCACAGCUGUGCCAAGGUCAGCCUGCUGUAGGAGGGGGCCUCAAUCUCCUCCAGAUGCAACAGAUGUGGAACAAUGCUGGUAACGGCAACAUGACCAAUCUGAAUGCAAUACAACUUCAACAGCUUCAGGCACUUCAGCUGCAGCUUCUGCUGCAACAGAUCCAAGGAAUGCAAUCCCUUGUCAACCAAAUCCAGCUCCACGGUGCUGCUCAACAGACCCUUAAUCCAGAUGGAACCAUACCAACUCAAGUCCCCACUGUGGGAGAAGUGGAAGAGGAAGUAAAGGUUGAGGUGAAAGAAGAAGAGGAAGAGGAGGAGGAGUAUGGGGAUACCCAAGAUGCUGAUCUGAGUCCUUCAGGGGAAUGUGAAUUCAAAAGUGAAUGUGAUCAAAAUUUAAGCAAGAAUUACUCUCCGGAUCAACCUGUUAAUGAAAAUGAUGUGGGUUAUGGCAUAAAAGAUUCAGUUGAAAAUGAGGUUUCUCAAGAGCCCAAAGCUGUAUGUGAUGCAACAGGUGCUGGUGCAAAUGACAUUACCUGUUCGAAGUCUGAAGAUGGGGACAGUUUAGUUGAGACAUCACAGACUAAGAAAGAUCAUGAAUUUUGCGUUAGUGAGAAUUCAAGGAGUGACAGUGAUAAACAGUCAUGGCAUAAUACUGACUCUGAUGAUGUAUCCUCGUCAACUAUGUCUGUGUCUGAUUCAGCGGGUGAACAAAAAUCUUGUGACACUAACCUGUUGGAUUCCUCUAAAACUGGUACAGCUUUGAGAACAAAACCACAAAAAGAAUCAUUAGGUGAGUCUCCUUCAGUGUCAAAUGCAGUACUGGGUCGCGGGUCAUCAUCCAGCAGUGUACUGGAUGGGUCAGCAGCAUCAGCUUCAGAUCUGCCCCAUGUGAACCACAACGGGCCGGAGGAGGACUUGUGUGAUGAUACUGAUUCACUGGAUGAUGACAUGUCUCUCGAUGAUCUGCGGAGGGGGUUGAAACGAGCCAGAACAGAUGAUGAGACUGAUGUGGACUCCACUAGCAUUGACAACUACGACGAGGAGUCCAUUGACGGCAUGGUGUCUGAAGGCUACCUUCAGAACUUCUCCACAGGGGAUGUUGUAUGGGGUCAGAUCCGAGGCUUCCCGCUGUGGCCAGGCAAGCUGGUUCCAGAAAGUGCUGCUGAGGGCAUUGAACUGAACCCCUCCCUAGAGGACAGAGCAGAUGCCGUGCUGGUCAUGUGGUAUGGGGAUCACACAUUUACUCGGGUUGAGCCUCAAAGACUCAAGACAUGGGGCGAAGGAAUGGUUGCUCAUCACAAAACCAGGAGGAAAUACCGCAGAGGCAGGAAGAUGAACUCCCAUCUGGAGGCGGCUAUCCAGGAGGCUGUGAAGGACAUAAAAGACAUGCCAGUCGUGAACUCUGAAACAGCCGCAGUGAAACCUUCAGUGAAGGGGCGUGCCACAAAGAAAAGGAAGGCUUGAUGCCGCAUGGAUUAUUUCAGUGUACAGUCAAACACUGAAGAGAGCCUACAUUCAUCCACUGUUUUAUGGUUGGACAGUGAAUGUCCAGGGAUAUAGUAGGAUAAUGAUGGAAGACAUUGACGAUAUAUGACAUGCGAUGGACAGUGUUUAUUUAUGUCCAGUCAUUAGGGAAUUUACUUUCCUGGGAAUUGAAGUUUGAGAUUGAUGUGAUGUCUGUUUAGCUCAGCAAAACCAUUUUUGAAGGAUUUUGAAAUUUUGAGAACCUGCAUUUUGAAGGAUGUCUGCUGGUUUGUAAACAAUAUGUACAGUUCAUUAUGGCAUGAACAUUAAUUAGGCUCUCCUCACAACAGUUUAUGAGUACUACCUACAAUAUCAGCUUCAUCUGAUGAAGUCAUGACUUGGACAGCAUACUAGAAUUUGAAAUUGAAGAUGAAAUAUUUUGUGCCAAUGUUGAAAGUCUAAGGACACGGUGUGGAAAUUGUGUUAUUUUGUGACAGAUGAAUUACUACCAAGUCUGAUGAAGGGGUUCUUUUUCGAGUCCAGGUGGGUGGUGGGUGGGAUGUUACCUGCAAAAAGUUUGUCGUGUCGUCUUCUUCGAUGGGUUGUUAUGAUGUCUCUCACAAGUAACAGUUAUUGUAGUUUCUGCCUCGAUAUGUUCUCUUGAAAUCAAGGGUUGGGUGACUGCCAAUUGAUUAAUCGACGGAGAUUGACAAAUGAGGAGUCACUUCACCCUUGACAUCUAAUAAGGCAGAGGGAAAGCAUACGAUAAUUAUUUUCACCAAUUGUCAUCCACAUUAGGUGGCAAGAAUAUGCAAAGUAUUCAUGAGGAAAGAUCACAAAAGAAAAGGUGCAGUCAACGGUUGAAAAUUCCAUUAUGAUUGGGAUGUGCCUGGCAAUUGCAACAGACAAUUUAUUAGAUUUUUGACUAUUUGAACUGCAGGUCCAGCUGCAUGCCUCAUGCAUUGAAGCGAUGUUGAUUGAUAAAAGUGACGGCACUUUUGAUGAAAAAUCCAGUUGUGCAGUCGUCUAGUGCGAAAAAGGUGACCCCCUUAAAUUCAAGAAAUAAGUCAGUUGAGACUUUUGUUAAAUAAUUGUUUCGACCAUGGACGUAUUCACAGAUAUUGAAAGAAUGAAACAAACUUUCCGUAAUCUAACUAGAAAAUAGUUAAUUGCCCAACCCGUCCUGGGUUCAUCAAGUACCUUGUAGUUCAGACAAGGAGAGUGUCAAGUUGAGGUCUUAUUUUCAAAGAACAGACCAUAAGUCAACAUGGUUUCCAAGGUUUGACUGAACAGAGAUAAACACUGGUGUGGCAGAGAGUGUCAACUUAAUGCUAUAUUAUCAAUGAGUAGGCCAUAAAGUGUCAUUGUUCCCAUCUUGUUUUUGAGUAAAGGACCUCAGGUUUGCAAGGUUUAUCUGUACAGAAACAGGUUGGUCUGGCAGAGUGGUAGCAUGGUGGAGAGUGGUUUGGUUUUAUUUUGUCAGUGUUCCCCAGUGUGGCUGCGGAACUGCCACAAGAGCCACAGACUACUCACUUGUUCUCAUUUGUGACAGUUUCUUUGCUGGAAGAGUUCCGCAGUGCGGCAGUAGAAUUACCUACCACAAGGCCCAUGAACACCUCCCUUCACUUGUGAACAUUGUGGCACCACUGUUGGUGUUGGUGUUGGGUACUAUCAUGACAGGCUCUCAUCGCUCUUUUCAUAAACAUUUUGAAGAAUUUAUUAAAAUGUAGGUCAUUCAAGGGUUGGUUUUCUGUUCUGUCUAUGUCUACAAUGGUCUGGUGUGUUCAUUGAGCAUGGCUAUGUUAAUCUGAGAAAUUGUUCAUUCUGUUUAUAAGUUGUGAUAGGUAGAUCUGUUUCAAAGUUCUGCGAUAUGAUGUUAGUCACUUGGGUAUGGGAUUUCCUUUAAAGAUGAAUGAUAAAGUGCUGUGGUGUUCAGGCCGGAAUUUGUUUAAUGCAGUGUUGGCAGAAACUGAAGAGAAACAGGCUGAAGGCUUCUGUCAGUCAAGACAUUCUUGAAUAGUUAAUGGAUGUUUUACUUCACAAGUUGGUGGGAAGGUCAUUUAUUGGACGGUGUAAAUUUUAGUUUCGGAAGAAAAUUUAUUUUUCUAAGACGAAACAUGAGUUGUUACCUUCUAAACCUCUCUGUAUAGUACUGUCCCAGCGAAACAUGAUCUGAAAUAUUUCAAAUGCACAUGACAUGCAAAUUCUAUGUAUGUUUGUCCGUGUUGUUUGGGGCAUAAUUGCAUAAUGUAAACACAGGCAAUAUUGACAUUUGUUUUCUGAAUUGAUGGACAGUUUCAUGUUGGUAAUUUAAUGUUUGGUAGUGUUCAAUAAUUGGUCUUGUGUUCAUUUGUCAAGCACAGCUGCUGUUGCUCAGGUAAUGUUUCCUGUGUAAAUGUGUCAGGGGGUUGAUACAGCUCGAACCUUACUCAGAGCCAAAAUGUGCGCUCCAAAAAGCAGGUUUAGAUAGAUUUUCAGAUAAACGGUUAACAGUAAAAUUCUAGGCGAUUCUUAUUAUUAAAACAGGUUAUUGGAUCCUCUAAAAUGAACUACCUAUUUGAACAGGGACCCAUUCCACAUUGCGAUUUUAGCUCUAAGAUGAUCGUAACUCCCAUACUUUUGCAUAGACUUACUACAAUCGUAGCACUAAGAUGAUCGUAACUCCCAUGCUUUAGCAUAGACUUACGACAAUUGUAGUGCUAAGAUGAUCGUAACUCCCAUACUUUUGCAUAGACUUACGACAAUUGUAGUGCUAAGAUGAUCGUAACUCCCAUACUUUUGCAUAGACUUACGACAAUUGUAGGUCAAAGAUGAUGGUCACUCCCAUACUUUAGCACAGGCUUACAACAAUCAUAGCGCUUAAAUCAUUUUGUGGAAUGGGGCCCUGAGCUAGCAGUAUGCACAUUUAUAUUUUGACCCUUAGAAAAGCAUCCAAAAUAUUUUACUGCGAGACCAAUUAAAUUUGAGAUCAAGGCCCUGUUGCACAAAGCAAUCGUAGCGCUACGUCUGUCAAAGGCUAUGUUAAAGUAUAUGAUUAAUGAGUCAUGACCUUAUGAUCGCUUUAUGCAACAGGCCCUGAAAAAAAUUUGAAAUGAUCUUUUUGCUUUCUUACUGCUGUUUUCCCCGCCUAGUGAUAAGGAUUUUGAAAGAAAAAUACAGACAUUAAUAAAUAAUGAUAAUUCCAACAGAUUUUGCUCGAGGGAGAUUUGGUAGUUGUUAAGUGUUUAGUUCUGUUCCUACUGUGAGUGUAGGAGCUAUAUUUUAUGAAGUAGUCAAAGAUAUAACUGUUGUUGGCAUUUCCAUGUGAGGUAGUGUAUGUUUAGCAAUGAUCAGUGCUUUGUUUGAGGCCAGGGUCAGUGACUUAUUGUCUGUUAUUGUUAUGUUUUGGGAGGGACAGUGGACAGUACACUGGCGGACAUUCCUGUCCCCCAUCUCCGACAACUCGGAGGUUUCAACAUGUAUGAUGAUGAUUAUUUCUUGAGCAAUAGACGUACCUUCUCCAUCAGUUGGUACUGCCGAAAUCGGUGUCUGGGUAUUUAAUCAGACUUAUAUGAUGCAUUUUCAAAUUUACUCUGUGCAAGAGAGAUGAUUUAUUUUAACACUUUCAUGCUUAAUUUAUUGUUACUGAAUUUGUGACUGAUAUUGUCUUCAUUAAAAACCGGAAAUUGAUGGAUGCAGAUAGAGCAAACCACAUCCUUAAUGUGUUCAUGUAGAAAUAUUUAGUUCUGAUAUUUUCCUACCAAACCCUCUGUGUGUUGUUCAGCUUGGUGUGUGUUUUCAGUUAAAGCUUCAUGGUUACUGUAUGGCUCUGUGAUAUGUCCAAUGUGUACAGGUGUUAUUUAUUUGUGAUACUUCCUUUUGCAUAAUACCUUGCAGAUUUACUUCACUCUUAAGGCUUAAUUAUAUAAUAAUUCUCUAUAAGCUUAAAAGUUUAUGCCUGUGAAUUUAUUGAAUCAGAAACUCCGUCACAAACAUAUUACUUGUACUUUGAAAUAUAUAUAUUAAUCAAGAAUUUUUUGCAUAAGGACAUCCUUUGUCUCUUCCAUUGCUAAGCAUAGGGCAAGUCUAUAUAUUGUAUCUCUAGCUGUGUGUUAAGUGUAAUAUCCUAUAUCAGCUGAAACUACCGUACACAGGACUGGUCAAGUCCGAACGUGAGCACCCAAUCAGAGACAGGGUAUCACUUAAGCCUUACCUCAUUGGGCUAAGCUCAGUUCAACACAAGCAUGAACACUUACUAUAUUUUGUUUUGGUUUGGAGGAGUUACAUAGACAUUUUUACACCAUAAAUCAAACAAUUAUUUUGACAGUUGGGUUGAAUACAAAAUUGUAUAUUUUUUUUGUUAACUUAGUUAACUUAUUUGCUCUGUAUGAAGAAUAUGUUUGAAAAUUUUGUUGUGGUUUGAAAUGGUUUCAUUUUCUUGACUCCAGGCAGGCAGGAUUGUGGGAAUUGACAAAUGAAACUCCUUGAAAACAUUAGGUAUUACUAAGCAAUGUCAGAAACAUAAUACAGAUAAGCAAAUCUCUCCAAUUUUGGAGGCGAGCUUGAGAAAGAAUUAACUUAUCUUUACAAUCAAGUUGAACUUUCAGUAUUUUUCAAUUACAUUCAAUCUAUGCUUCGAUGCAGUGACUGAUACCAUCCUUUCAUUUGGCCUGAUUAAUUUGUGGUUUAACAGUUGUAUUUGUUGAUGAUUUGUUUAGGGGACAUUGGGGCCAGUAAGGUGCCACAUGUUGCUGUGAACAGUUGAUUUCUUCGUUAGGACAGGAUCCUUUAAUCAUAUGUUUGAAUCCCAGGUUUACCCUGGUCAAUAUUCUUGGUUUGUCAGCACCAUAUCCAUGUUCAUCAGGACAGGAUCCUUUAAUCAUAUGUUUGAAUCCCAGGUUUACCCUGGUCAAUAUUCUUGGUUUGUCAGCACCAUAUCCAUGUUCAUCAGGACAGGAUCCUUUAAUCAUAUGUUUGAAUCCCAGGUUUGCCUGGUCAAUAUUCUUGGUUUGUCAGCACCAUAUCCAUGUUCAUAGUCUUCACCAAAUUGGUCCGCGUGAAAAAACGAUGGAUCAUUUUGGACUUUCUUGCCUCAUUUGGCUUAUUGACAUGCUGUGAUUUAGCUGAAAUAGUGUUAAAAAUGGCAUUAACCCAACUCACUCACUCACCCACUCUGAUUUGUUCAACCUUGAUACAUACUGUUCUUCAUUUAUUCAGGUUUGGUGACUCCUACUAUGAUCUGAAUUGUUUUUAGAUUUAAUUAGAAAUAGAGACCCAAAAUUGCAGAAUUUGGCAUAAUAUUUGACAGUGUAAACAGACCUGAAGUAAAUGUUAAUAUGAGUUUAACAGUUCAGUUAUAAGAUGUCAAUAAUUAGUUAUAGAUUAACAAAUUAUGUUGUUGCUGGCGUUAAGGAAAACAUUGAAGCUUUUUGUUGAAAGUUUAAUUUUGUUCAUUAAUGUUAUAUUUGUUUGCAAUGUUGAUGGCAUUAUAUUUUUAUCAUUGAAAAUAGACUGACUAAAAGUGUAUGGCAUUUUUGAAGAUAUUGCGUUUAUGUUAAUUUCUCUCCUAAGUAUUUGUUAUGUGUGCAAGAUCAAAGAUAGUUUACUUUGUAGUUAUACAUUUAUGAUUAAAUUGACUAAGGAAACGUUCCGAGGUUCUAUGUGAUGUCCACUUUUGACCAGGAGAAGAUGCUUCAGGCUGCUUGUGCUUAUGUGGUUACUGUUAGUGCUUAUGUGGUUACUGUUAGUGCUAUAGUUAUUACUGUGUGUUGUGCAGAUUUAAUUUAAGCUUGUUUGUUUAGAAUCUCAGAAUAUUCUAUGGUGUUCAAUGUUGUGUGAAAAGUGCUUCAAAGGGAGACAACUGCCCAUUUUACUGACCCAUCGCUCACAAUGCUUGCAAAUGGCGAGAUUGUGUUUAUUGUGUCCGUGGUCAGAUUCCGAUGUAUUUGUGUUUGAGCAUAGAGAUAUACACAUAUUUUAUUUGUUGUUUUGUUGGACAAUCUUUUUUUUUAAUUGUACAUAAACAUUUUAUCCCUAAUGCUACACCAGUAGUUAUAACUGACCCAGUUUUAAUGCUGAUAAAAGUUGAUUUCGUUUGUAUAUAUUGAUAAUUAAUAUGAUGUUUUGUACAUAGUCAACCAUUUCGUGCCAUGUAUGGAUACAGAAGUAUACUUAUCUUAAUGUUAAAAGUCCUCAUGUGCUCAAAGCACACAACCGAUGUCGUGUACAGAAAAUUUGUAUAAUGUGAUAUCAUGUUAUUCAGUGUUUAUUUACAGUCUUAAUCACAGCUUAGUGAGUCAUGUGACCAGGGUCAUGUGACAGGAUCAGAUACCGAGGGAAUCAUCGUCUUGCAUAUAUUUCUGUGACUUGUUUAUCAAUAACCAUUGAGACAGUAUGCCACAGAUGAACUGUGGGUCUACUGAAGCUACUUGCCUGUCCUUCACAGGCUGACACAAGCAAUGACGGAUAGAUGUAUUCCCAUGUUUAUCAUACUCCCAAUGUUCUGUAUUAAACUUCAGUUUAUUGUUCACA
RNAcentral lists this unclassified non-coding RNA (12771 nucleotides) under Haliotis rufescens (red abalone). Its description in RNAcentral is "uncharacterized LOC124114059, transcript variant X1". The record is from RNAcentral. Lineage: Eukaryota; Metazoa; Mollusca; Gastropoda; Lepetellida; Haliotidae.